RNAcentral lists this ribosomal RNA (799 nucleotides) under Thelonectria trachosa. RNAcentral's name for it is "LSU rRNA". It matches the Rfam family "Eukaryotic large subunit ribosomal RNA", at positions 88 to 916 of the family's 3401-position model. The record is from RNAcentral. Lineage: Eukaryota; Fungi; Ascomycota; Sordariomycetes; Hypocreales; Nectriaceae.
GGCGAGUGAAGCGGCAACAGCUCAAAUUUGAAAUCUGGCCCUCGGGUCCGAGUUGUAAUUUGUAGAGGAUGCUUUUGGCGCGGUGCCUUCCGAGUUCCCUGGAACGGGACGCCACAGAGGGUGAGAGCCCCGUCUGGUCGGACACCAAGCCUCUGUAAAGCUCCUUCGACGAGUCGAGUAGUUUGGGAAUGCUGCUCUAAAUGGGAGGUAUAUGUCUUCUAAAGCUAAAUACCGGCCAGAGACCGAUAGCGCACAAGUAGAGUGAUCGAAAGAUGAAAAGCACUUUGAAAAGAGAGUUAAAAAGUACGUGAAAUUGUUGAAAGGGAAGCGCUCAUGACCAGACUUGGGCCUGUUUGAUCAACCUGGGUUCUCCCGGGUGCACUCUCUCAGGCCUAGGCCAGCAUCAGUUCGCCGCGGGGGACAAAGGCCUCGGGAAUGUGGCUCCCCUCGGGGAGUGUUAUAGCCCGUUGCGUAAUACCCUGCGGCGGACUGAGGACCGCGCGAAAGCAAGGAUGCUGGCGUAAUGGUCAUCAGCGACCCGUCUUGAAACACGGACCAAGGAGUCGUCUUCGUAUGCGAGUGUUCGGGUGUUAAACCCCUACGCGUAAUGAAAGUGAACGCAGGUGAGAGCUUCGGCGCAUCAUCGACCGAUCCUGAUGUUCUCGGAUGGAUUUGAGUAAGAGCAUACGGGGCCGGACCCGAAAGAAGGUGAACUAUGCCUGUGUAGGGUGAAGCCAGAGGAAACUCUGGUGGAGGCUCGCAGCGGUUCUGACGUGCAAAUCGAUCGUCAAACAUGGGC